GGGCAACAUAUUGAGACCCCAUCUCUAAACAAAAUUUAAAAAUUAGCCGGGUGCGGUGGUGUGCUCCUGUGGUCCCAGCUACUCAGGAGGCUGAGACGGGAAGAUCACUCAAGCCCAGGAGGUGGAGGCUGCAGCGAACUGAGAUCAUACCACUGCACUCCAGCCUGAAUGACAGAGCAAGACCUUGUCUCUCCGGGAAAAAAAAAAAAACCUGUAAACACUGUUCCUACCUUGUGGGCCGUACCCAGACUAGCUGCUGCCAGGUCUGGUCUUUGGGCCUACAGUGGUGGCCCUGGUGUGGGGGCAGCCUCCCCCUUCGCUUUGAGCAGUGGCCUUCGUUCUGCAGCCAUCCAGUCACUGCUGGCUUGAUCUCAUCCCAGCUGGCGAUGGAUGGUGCCCACUCGAGACCCCGCCACUGAGCACCAAGGUUGGGGGCGGGCUCAGCCUUGGCCCCCACCACACUCUGAAGAAACAGGCCUUGGAACUGGUUUCUGAAAAGUCACUCCUGGUCCAGUAACUUCUUCUCUAACUGGGCACCUUCUUUUUUAGCAUGUGCAUCUGUUUGUGAGUCUGGGACUCCUGGGUGGUCUGGGCAUCUGCCUGGGCCUCCUCUGUCUUCCCCGCCCCACGGCCUGUCUCGGAGAAUGUUCCCUCCGCCCUGAGUGUUUUUGCAGCCCCUCCUGACAGCCCCGAGGUGAAGCUCUCUCUUCUGCUCUUGUGAUCUGUCCUUUUGAUUUCCUGCCGCCUGCUGCUCCUCGUGAAGAGCCGCCUCCUGGGGAGGCCACUCCAGGUGGCCACACCGGCACAGAGCUCGUGCACCCAGCUCCCAGGCCCAGCCGGAUGCGCUAUUUGCAUAAUGGUUAAUUGAUUGUGGCUCAGGCUAAUUGGUCAACAGAGCGGAUUGCCAGUAAACCGGCACCACGCUCCAGGAGUGGAAUGGGACUAGAGGCCGUCUAAAUUGCCAGCCAGGAGGAGAUGCAGAAGCCACAGCGCUCACCGCUGCUUGGAACUGUCUUUGCACGCAGGAAGUGGACCCCCAGAACCAGCCCUUGCGCGGCCUGGCCUCCCUGCCCCAGCCGCCCCCUCGCUCGCUCGUAGUCACGACCUGCUCCCCCCAGGAGCCCCCUCCCGCCCUCUCCCGUGCACUGCCAUCCUGGGGGCUGCCUUCCCCCAGCAGCGAGCCUGGAUAACAAAUGAAGGCAGCUUCCCAAGGAUGUAGUUUUCUUUAAAGCCUUCAGUAUGUAAAACAAGGCUGAUGCGCUUUUUUUUUUUUUUUUUUUUUAGUCAUGGGGGGUGCUUUUCUCUGGAGAGGCGGAUGGGUGACUCACGUUUCAGAGCCCAAGCUGCCCCUCCCGCCCCCGGGGAGGUGGUCGGUUCUCCCCUGAGCAGUGCUCUCUCCACAUGGCCUGCCUUCUCCCCUGACCCAGGCUCCCUCCCUGAGGGCGUAUCUUGGGGCCAGGGCAGCCCUGUCUGAGCAUCUGUAGCUCAGGCUGGAUCGGGAGACACGGUGGACUGACUGGCUCUGUCUCCCAGACAAGGGGCUUGUGGACACAGGCUGGAUCCUUCUCUGGUGGGGGGAGCAUCCUGGGCCCUGCAGGGUGCUGAGCAGCGUCCCUGGCCUCCACCCACUCCAUGCCAGGAGCACACCCCAAGUCGUGACAACCACAGAUAUCCCCAGACGUCGCCCAGUUCCGCGGGUGGGAACCCCUGCCCUAGACCACGGGACGGCAUCAGGGUGGGCGCCAUGCCCUCGCCCCAGUGCAGUCCAGCCUUCCCUGCCCUCAGCGUGGCUGUGGGACGACCCCAUGUGUUUACCAGGUGCCCCGUGGGGUGCGGAUGGUUCGGCACAGCAGCCUGAGCUCAGAGGACAUGGCUUGCUCCCCGCCCGCCACCUUACACGGGGCUCUUCCGGAGCUAAAUCUUGUCGGGUGAGCGUUGGGGGCUGUUUGUAUUCUUCCCCUGAUGGAUGGGUCGCCUAAAACGGCAGCCUGGCUCCUGGUGGGUGUCCUCGGCCUCCCCACGCCUUGUGUUGCUGUGCGUUCCUGCGGCUUGCCUGAGCCGGAGCCCUCACAGUGCUCUCUGGCACCCACGCGGCGCUCCUCCAUGCAGACUCUUUCCACGCGAGAAGCGCCAUGUACACAUGCUCCAGCAUGUACGCGCUCCCUGCAGGACAUCUGUGCACCCGCCUCACCACAGCCUCCCUGGCCCACUGCUGCUCUGUGAGCCCGGCUGGGCCCAGGCCUCGUCUCCCCUACCCCUCCGAGCUCCGUGCUCCCUGUCCCCUCCGGCUCUGCCUUGGCCUGUCGCCCCCGCAGCAGUGCAGGACACCACCAUGCCUCCGGCCCCGACUCCCGCCAGGGCUGGCGCACCCCAGCUGCGUUCCUGAGCCCUCCCCACCAACAGGGACCUCAGCCCUCAGGGACAGAACCUCACAAGCACAGGGACCUGCCAGCCCCUGCAGGGAGCAUGCAGCCUCAGGGACUCACUCACUGUCUCCUGUCUCUUUCCUAGAGCUGCUGUUCAUUUUCUCAAAGGUGAAAUUCCUCAGCACAGCGUCUAGUCUUGGGGGCGGGGAGCACUGGGCCACUUGGGGGCAGGGGGUGGGGGGCGGCUCUGAGGGCUCAGUCUGGGGCCAACCUCCCAGCCAUCCCUAAGCCUGGGGCCAGGGCUGGGGCAGCCCCAGUCCUCCCCGCCCUGUGAGAAGCCCUGAGCCAGCGCGGCACUGAGAGCUGACGGUCCCACUCUGGCUGCUGCAGGUGGCCCGUGUUACUGGGUGACAGGGCCGGAGGCCGUCCACCCCGCCUCCUGCCAUACAAGCUGCAAAGGACACCUGCUUCCACCUUGGAAAUAUUAGUGCAGUUUUCUGAACUACGUCCCGACAUUUGGCUCAUAGGAAUGAGCCCAGGGGCGUCCAGUUAAGCCUGGCAGGCUAAGUGCUUAUUUAUCUCCACUCUCUCCUGAAACGCCCCUGAAACGCCACAGAGUGAAGUGCAGAGAACAGGAGGGGGGGCAGUGGCAGCUGAGCAUGUCUACAGGCUUUGAAAAGCAGGGAAGGGUGGGCAGGAGACCUCCUGGGCCAGCGACCAGGAGGACAGCCAGCAGGGAGCGGCUGGUCUGCACCACGGGGCCGCAGAAAGACACAGUGGGCAGACGUGGGCAGCUCCUGGGGGGCUGCAGGGGGAACGCACCACGGGGCUGCAGAAAAACAGCAGGCAGACAUGGCAGCUCCUGGGGGGCUGGAGGGAUGCGGGGAUAACCAGCAGAAGGCAGUGGGUGGCUCUGGGCAGGAGGGAAGCGCCUCCCUGAGGUUGGCAGUGGGGCCCAGCUGCCAGCCUCACAUCCCCCCACCCCCAAGGCCAGAAGAGACAAUAGAGGGGGCGGGGUCCUCUCCCAGAGAACAAAGGGGCCCAGUGGAGCAAAGCCACAGAUGCGGAUACUGGGGCUCCCCUAAAGUCACAGUCUCCUGCCCUCAGCAGCCCCUGCCACUGCCUUCACCAGGCCCAUCUCACACACGGCUUGUCACCGUGCACAGAGGGAUCAACGGCCAGGGGGCCCAACACAUUGGAGGCCACGCUCCCAUGACAAAGCAGGGCCUGCACAGCGAAGAAGGGAAGAGCUCCGAGGAAGGAGGAUGCAGUGAGCGUGGGGCCCUGGAGCGGCCCGGGAUUUUGCAUUAUGGAAGAAGAGCCAUUGCUGUGAAGAAGAAACGUUCCAGGAACGAGUGACUCUCGGAUGUUACCAUAUAGAGGAGAGAAGCGCCCUGGUGGAUUGGGAGGCUCUUGAAGAAGCCCCUCCCACAGCACAGAUGGACCGACAGAGCUGGAAGAUAUGAAGGAUCAGGAAGUCAGAGGCAUAGUCCAGGAAAUCUAGCCCCUGAUAGGAGUUUCAGAAAAAAAGAAACUUUGCAUUUCCAGGUUUAAAAGUCCGGAAAGUCCACCCAAGAAUGGAAAUUACCCAAACGACAACACAUCGCUGUGAAAUUUUACAACUCCUGGAUUAAACAAAGGCCCUGAAAGCUUCCAGAGCAAACAGAUCACUAAACAGCUCACCAGACUGGGGCUGGGCAUGGUAGCUCACGCCUGUGAUCCCAGCACUGUGGGAGGCCAAGGCAGGAGGAUCUCUUGAGGCCAAGAGUUCGAGGUCAGCCUGGGCAACAUAGCUAGACCCUGUCUCUA
Non-coding RNA from Macaca mulatta (Rhesus monkey), 4175 nucleotides. NCBI's taxonomy places the organism in Eukaryota, Metazoa, Chordata, Mammalia, Primates, Cercopithecidae. The record is from RefSeq and is a predicted model, not a curated record.